GAUGAACGCUAGCGGCAGGCCUAAUACAUGCAAGCCGGACGGCAAGUUGAGUAGCAAUACUUGACCUAGAGUGGCGUAAGGGUGCGUAACACGUAUGCAAUCUGCCCACAGCCGGGAGAUAGCCCUCCGAAAGGAGGAUUAAUAUCCCAUAGGAAGAUGAGAUGGCAUCAUUUUAUUUUAAACUACGGGGCUGUGGAUGAGCAUGCGGUUGAUUAGCUAGUUGGCGGGGUAAAGGCCCACCAAGGCGAUGAUCAAUAGGGGACCUGAGAGGGUGAUCCCCCACACUGGCACUGAGAUACGGGCCAGACUCCUACGGAGGCAGCAGUAGGGAAUAUGGGACAAUGGGUGUAAGCCUGAUCCAGCCAUGCCGCGUGCAGG
Molecule: ribosomal RNA, 378 nt
Filed under: uncultured bacterium
Lineage: Bacteria
Description: bacterial SSU rRNA
Rfam family: Bacterial small subunit ribosomal RNA
Source: RNAcentral